RNA transcript from Ziziphus jujuba (common jujube), 1566 nucleotides. It is a transcript of the gene named probable protein phosphatase 2C 28, with no coding region annotated. The record is from RefSeq and is a predicted model, not a curated record. The transcript is spliced from 9 exons. NCBI's taxonomy places the organism in Eukaryota, Viridiplantae, Streptophyta, Magnoliopsida, Rosales, Rhamnaceae.
CUCAAUAAUAAAUAUCCUGUUAUUAUAUACCUUUCUCAGUCUCAAUCUCUCUCCCUCUCUCUCUCUCUCUCUCUCUCUCUCUCUUGCCCGCUCUGGAAGAAGAUGCAGAAGAUUCGUCAGACAUGAAGAAAAGGAAACCAGGAUUGGAAAUCGGCAAUGAUGUGGAUCGGUUUAUUAAUGUAAAGAAAAGGAAACCAAGAUUGGAAAAUGACAUGGACUUCAUAAAAGUAAAGGAAAAUUUAGGACACCAUUUGUCCAGGGAAGAUGAAGAAGACGAUAAGGAGUUAGUAAGUCGACAUGUAACCCAUGGAUUCCAUUUGGUACAAGGAAAAAUGGACCAUGGAAUGGAAGAUUAUAUUGUGGCAGAAAAUAGGAAAGUCAAUGGCCAUGAGGUAGGAUUAUACGCAAUUUUUGAUGGCCACUCAGGUCGUGAUGUUGCAGAAUACUUGCAAAGCCAUCUAUUUGAUAACAUACUAAGCGAGCCUGAUUUCUGGACAAACCCAAAAGAUGCCGUCAAGAGAGCAUACAAGGCUACAGACGAUGAUAUUUUGGAAAUGAUGAUUGGUUCUCGAGGAGGCUCAACAGCAGUUACUGCAACAUUAAUCGAUCAAGAAAAGCUAAUCAUAGCCAAUGUAGGGGACUCUCGGGCUAUUUUGUGCCGAAAUGGUCAAGCAAAACAGAUCACUGUAGAUCAUGAGCCACAAAAGGAGAAAGAGCUUGUUGAGAGCAGAGGUGGAUUUGUGUCUAAAGCUCCUGGAAAUGUUCCACGCGUAGAUGGCCAGCUAGCCAUGACAAGGGCAUUCGGAGAUGUGGAAGUGAAAGAGCAUAUUACAUCAGAACCAUAUGUUAGGGUUGAAAGUGUUGAUAAAGAUAGUGAAUUCAUCAUUUUGGCUAGUGAUGGCCUGUGGAAAGUGAUGUCAAACAAAGAGGCAUUAGAAUGUAUUCGAAAAAUAGAUGAUGCCCAGGAAGCAUCUAAGAAGUUAGUUAGAGAAGCUUUAUCCAGAAAAAGCAACGAUGAUAUAUCCUGUGUGAUUGUAAUGUUCCACUAAAUCAGCCUCAGCUUUCCGGUCAUGAUGUACACAGGUUGAGAUCUCAAACUAAAAUCAGUCAAAUGGAAGAUGAUGACAUUGUAAUUGCGGUUUUAUACAAUGGAACAUUGGUACAAAAUGAUAGUGGUGAUUGGGAAUAUCGAAAUGGUAAAAAUGUAAUGGUUUCCAUCGGCAAGAGAUGCACAAAAUCAGAGUUAGAGGACUGUGGCAUAUUUACACUCAAGACCAUCGAAUUCUUACAUGCUAGAUUACCAUUGACAUUCACACAAGAUAACAUGGAGUUCUUUAGGAAGAAGUAUGCAUAUGAGGUUUACAACAAAGAACUUAGCAUAUGAGCUGCGUGGUGAUGCUUUUUUCUUUCCUUUUUUCAUGUUUAUAGAUGCAUAUUAUUUAUUAUAUUUGACUUUUAAUUGUAAAUAUAAUGGUGGCUUAUAAUGUUCAUUUAACAAAGAUAACAAUGUGGUAUUGAUGUAAUGAUAAGUAAUUGACCUUAUAGGAAAUGUGCCAUGUUUAUUUA